GUGCCAUUUGGAGUAACAGUCUACAAUGCCACAACACGUUGUUGGACCUAUCUUUGGCGUUUCUUCUGCCAGCUGAUGAGUCUUUUAGGGAUGCAAAUUGUCUGCCUUCGGAAAAUCAGAAGAAUGAAAGAAUGGGAUUUAUAGCAUAUAUGCUCUAUGUGCAGCUGAUGAAGCUUUGAGAGAUGAAAAUUGGUUGCCUUCGGAAAAUAAGAAGAAGGAAAGAACGGGUGUUUCAAUUGGUGGGGGAAUCGGAAGCAUCUCAGACAUUUUAAAUGCAUGACUGCUGAUUGCUGAAAAUGAAAUAUGCAGUUAUGGAUCCAUUCUAUAGUUGGAAUAUGAGACUCCAUAUGUGGGUGUAUGUUUAUUCUUGCUUGAAUCUGGUGCUGAAGGU
This is a long non-coding RNA of Triticum dicoccoides, 391 nucleotides long. RefSeq lists it as uncharacterized. The transcript is spliced from 4 exons. NCBI's taxonomy places the organism in Eukaryota, Viridiplantae, Streptophyta, Magnoliopsida, Poales, Poaceae. The record is from RefSeq and is a predicted model, not a curated record.